Molecule: microRNA precursor, 59 nt
Filed under: Scyliorhinus torazame (cloudy catshark)
Lineage: Eukaryota; Metazoa; Chordata; Chondrichthyes; Carcharhiniformes; Scyliorhinidae
Description: Sto-Mir-130-P1c_pre stem-loop
Source: RNAcentral
GCCCUUUUCAGGUUGUGCUACUGUGUAUAUUGGUAGGCAGUGCAAUAUUAAAGGGGCAU